This 484-nucleotide ribosomal RNA is filed under the name uncultured bacterium. RNAcentral's name for it is "partial 16S ribosomal RNA". It matches the Rfam family "Bacterial small subunit ribosomal RNA", at positions 30 to 507 of the family's 1533-position model. The record is from RNAcentral.
AUUGAACGCUGGCGGCGGGCCUAACACAUGCAAGUCGAGCGGAUGAAGGGAGCUUGCUCCUGGAUUCAGCGGCGGACGGGUGAGUAAUGCCUAGGAAUCUGCCUGGUAGUGGGGGAUAACGUCCGGAAACGGGCGCUAAUACCGCAUACGUCCUGAGGGAGAAAGUGGGGGAUCUUCGGACCUCACGCUAUCAGAUGAGCCUAGGUCGGAUUAGCUAGUUGGUGGGGUAAAGGCCUACCAAGGCGACGAUCCGUAACUGGUCUGCGAGGAUGAUCAGUCACACUGGAACUGAGACACGGACCAGACUCCUACGGGAGGCAGCAGUGGGGAAUAUUGGACAGUGGGCGGAAGCCUGAUCCAGCCAUGCCGCGUGUGUGAAGAAGGUCUUCGGAUUGUAAAGCACUUUAAGUUGGGAGGAAGGGCAGUAAGUUAAUACCUUGCUGUUUUGACGUUACCAACAGAAUAAGCACCGGCUAACUUCGUG